This 482-nucleotide ribosomal RNA is filed under the name uncultured bacterium. RNAcentral describes it as "partial 16S ribosomal RNA". It matches the Rfam family "Bacterial small subunit ribosomal RNA", at positions 30 to 507 of the family's 1533-position model. The record is from RNAcentral.
AUUGAACGCUGGCGGCAUGCUUUACACAUGCAAGUCGAACGGCAGCGCGGGGCAACCUGGCGGCGAGUGGCGCACGGGUGAGUAAUAUAUCGGAACGUACCCAGAAGUGGGGGAUAACGUAGCGAAAGUUACGCUAAUACCGCAUACGAUCUGCGGAUGAAAGUAGGGGACCGCAAGGCCUUAUGCUUUUGGAGCGGCCGAUAUCUGAUUAGCUAGUUGGUGAGGUAAAGGCUCACCAAGGCGACGAUCAGUAGCUGGUCUGAGAGGACGACCAGCCACACUGGAACUGAGACACGGUCCAGACUCCUACGGGAGGCAGCAGUGGGGAAUUUUGGACAAUGGGCGCAAGCCUGAUCCAGCAAUGCCGCGUGAGUGAAGAAGGCCUUCGGGUUGUAAAGCUCUUUUGUCAGGGAAGAAACGGUAGAGGCUAAUAUCCUUUGCUAAUGACGGUACCUGAAGAAUAAGCACCGGCUAACUACGUG